Molecule: transfer RNA, 65 nt
Filed under: Dipodomys ordii (Ord's kangaroo rat)
Lineage: Eukaryota; Metazoa; Chordata; Mammalia; Rodentia; Heteromyidae
Rfam family: tRNA
About the family: Transfer RNA (tRNA) molecules are approximately 80 nucleotides in length. Their secondary structure includes four short double-helical elements and three loops (D, anti-codon, and T loops).
Source: Rfam by way of RNAcentral
GGUGGCUCAGUGGUAGAGUGCUUGCCUUGCAUGCAUGAGGCCCUGGGUUUGAAUCCCCAGCACCA